This 900-nucleotide long non-coding RNA is filed under the name Sus scrofa (pig). RNAcentral's name for it is "lncRNA (ENSSSCG00035001896.1)". Lineage: Eukaryota; Metazoa; Chordata; Mammalia; Artiodactyla; Suidae. The record is from RNAcentral.
CUGCCGUGGGGGAGGGGAGCCCCGGAGCGGGGCCCGGAAUCCGGCCUCUGGGGACCCUGGAGUCCUGAGCGAACAAUGUGGGGGCCGAGAGGAGCGGAACUGCGUGCGGCGCUGCGCGAGCGGGCAGGCAAUCCCGGGCAGCGUUUGUGUGUGAGAGUGCAAUGGGAGCUCAGUCCCUCCCGCCUCCUCCGCCUCCUCCUCCUCUUCCUCCUCCUCCUCCUCCGUCUCCUCCUCCUCCCUCAAGCACACCCCGUCUCCCAGGCCACAGCAUAGCAACCGAACAUGGCGGCUGCGCAGACGCCGCCAGUCAGCAGCCAGGAACGGCGGUGGCGGCCACUGGAGGCGAUCUCGCGAGAGACGAGGCCAAGCCCCUUCCCCGCCAGCACCGGCUGGAAGAUGUUACACCAGCCCGAGAGCCGGGGGACGCGCAGGUGCGAGGGAGGCCGGACCUGGCUGGAGCCUCAACGUUGGAGGGGCAGGAAGAGGACACACUUUCUUUAGGGAAACUCCACAGGAUCUGGAUGUAAGAAGUCCAAAAUGGAUUGACAGAGGAGAUGGGAUGAAGAUGGUGGAAUAGAAGGAAUAGAGAUCAACCUCUUUCCUAAAAAUGAUAAAAUCUACAACCGAAUGCUGAGAAAUCUUCAACCAAAUGGACCAAAACCUUUCAAAAAGACAUCCUACUCCAGAAGACAAAGAGGAGGCCACAUCAAGAGUGGUACAAAAUUGAAUUGUUAAAAAUAUCUGACAAUUAGAGAUAGUCUAAAACAGCAAUAAAGUAAAAAUGUUAUCAUACUACAUAUUUUCUUAGUAUUAAGAAAUGGAAUUGCUUAUUCAAAUGAUUUUAAAUCAUUUGCUUAAUAGAAAUAAUUUUUACAUGAUAAGAAUAAAGUAGCAGAAUGA